RNAcentral lists this long non-coding RNA (666 nucleotides) under Capra hircus (goat). RNAcentral's name for it is "lncRNA (ENSCHIG00000005415.1)". The record is from RNAcentral. Lineage: Eukaryota; Metazoa; Chordata; Mammalia; Artiodactyla; Bovidae.
GGUUGUUCCAGGCCAAUGGUCCCCAUUGCCAUGGGUGACAAGACCCGGGUCUCCUGCAUUGCAGGCAGAUUCUUGACUGUCUGAGCCACCAGGAAAGCCCAACAAGACCUACACAUCUCCCUAAAAAUGGAACCAAAGUAAAAAGCUAUUCCCUCCUGCUGGCAGCAGCCGCUGAGGAUGGUUUGGGUGUCUCUCUGCAUCUCCCUCUCCCUCCCUAAAAUCUCAGGGCUCCUGAAACACAACUCAGAGCUCUACUGGCCAAGCGACCCCUUGGACAUUCUGUGAGUGCCUCUGAUGACUCCCUCAGCUCCCCGACUUCUAGAAGCCACCUAUCGGGACCAAGUGGGCACCUCAGACCACCUAAGAGCCCAGAGGGGCCACGGCUCUGGGCAGCUGUGGAGGGAGAGAAGCUCCCAGAGUGCCUGGCCUGAGGCUCCUGGCUGAUCUGAUAAGAUGUGACAAGGCGGCCUGAAAAAUGUUGAAACCUGUAAAAUGCUGAAACCUGUUUUUUGCUGCGUUGUGAGCAUGGGGUGUUUUUUUUUUCCUCCUUCUCAAUUUCAUAGGAAAGUGGAGUUGAUCUGAGUGGAGAAGGGAGGGGGUAGGAGAGAGGGAUUGUCCCCUUCAGGCAAACCGAGGACCGUGGGGGGGUGGGGAGCACAGAGCAGG